Molecule: long non-coding RNA, 1556 nt
Filed under: Vulpes vulpes (red fox)
Lineage: Eukaryota; Metazoa; Chordata; Mammalia; Carnivora; Canidae
Description: lncRNA (ENSVVUG00000017383.1)
Source: RNAcentral
AUGAUGAAGAAAAGAACACUGACAGAGGAGCCCAUUUCCAUGAGUCGAAGUGUGAGACUGUCAGAGGGAUCGGAGGAUGAAAGCAAAGGACUGGACUGGUAUAUGUUUGUUUUUUUUUUUAAGAUUUUAUUCAUUCAUGAGAGGCAGAGACAUAGGCAGAGAGAGAAGCAGGCUCCCCACAAGGAGUCCGAUGUGGGACUCUAUCCCAGUCCCGGGGAUCAUGCUCUGAGCCAAAGGCAGAUGCUCAACUGCUGGGCCACCCUGGGUAAAGAGGACUUUUUUUUUAAAGAUUUAUUUAUUUAUUUAUUCAGAGGGAGCGAGAGAGAGGCAGAGACACAGGCAGAGCGAGAAGCAGGCUCCAUGCAGGAAGCACGACGUGGGACUCGAUCCCGGAUCUCCAGGAUCACACCCCGGGCUGCAGGCAGCGCUAAACCGCUGCACCACCGGGGCUGCCCAAGAGGACUUUUUAUAAGCCAAGUCCUUUGUGGAGUCCUUCACACAUUUAACCUUAUUUAAAUUCUCAUGACAACCAUGUGAGUGAAGCAUUAUCCCAUUUUACAGAUGAAGAAGUUGAGGCUAGGAAGGUAAAUAAUUUGCCCAAGGGCUCACUGGAAAUGUUUAAGUCAGGAUUGGAACUCAUCCUUCAAGCCAGUGUUCCUCCUAAUGUGGCCCCCAGACCAGCACCAUCAGUAUUAUCUGAGAAAUUGCUAUAAAUGUACAUUUUGGGGCCUGUGAGCCUGAGACCGACAGAGUCAGAAAUUCUGGAAGUGGGACUCAGCAAUCUAUGUUUUAGUAAGUCCUCUAGGUGAUUCUGGUAUACUCUCAAAUAUGAGAACCACUAUUUGGAGCCACCCAACCUCUCAGUGUAUGCAAGACAACAUGGAGGGCUUGGCAGAGAAGCCUCCCGUCAGAGGACAGAGGCUGAAUCAAAUGGAUGAGAUCACUGGGGACUGGCUCCUGUUGUGAAUGCUUCAAGGAAAGCCCAGCCAGCUUGGAUACCUGGGCUGUCACCCUGUUCCCCCCGGAGCAUGAACUUGGCUUUCUCCCUCUCUGCCUGUCUCAGUUUAGUUGUUCCUUGCUUCCAAGGCAUCAUCACCCUCCUGCUCUUGCAGGGCAUCAUCACCCUCGUUGCUCUUUCUUGCCGACCACACAAAUCUCCUCCAACCAAGUCCUCCCCUGCAUGCUAGGCUCUGGUGCAAAUGGAUGCUGGACAUCCAUCCUCCCAGACAUGGAAACAUGGCUGGGACUUAGCUCUUCAUAACCCUCCCUUCCCUGGAGCUUCCUCCUGCCUCAGCCUUCUCGGCACUUGUCAUUAGGCCCUCAGUAACACUAUGGGAAAUGUCAUUGAAAUCAGAUUUUUCUGGGGCAGCAGUGGCUCAGCAAUUUAGCGCCGCCUUUGGCCCAGGGCCUGAUUCUGGAGACCUGGGAUCGAGUCCCACGUCGGGCUCCCUGCAUGGGGCCUGCUUCUCCCUCUGUGUCUCUGCCUCUCUCUCUCUCCUUCUCUCUGUGUGUCUCUCAUGAAUAAAUAAAUAAAAUCUAAAAAAAAAAAAAAAUCA